Molecule: non-coding RNA, 72 nt
Organism: Bos taurus (domestic cattle)
Lineage: Eukaryota; Metazoa; Chordata; Mammalia; Artiodactyla; Bovidae
Source: Rfam
UCCCUUGUAGCUCAACUGGUAAAGUAUCUGCUUGCAAUGCAGGAGACCUGGGUUCAAUACCUGGAUUGGGAA